CCGUUCUCAGUUCGGAUCGGAGUCUGCAACCCGACUCCGUGAAGCUGGAUUCGCUAGUAAUCGCGCAUCAGCCAUGGCGCGGUGAAUACGUUCCCGGGCCUUGUACACACCGCCCGUCAAGCCAUGGGAGCCGGGGGUGCUUGAAGUGCGUCGCCGCAAGGCGCGCCCUAGAGCAAAACCGGUGACUGGGGCUAAGUCGUAACAAGGUAGC
This 211-nucleotide ribosomal RNA is filed under the name uncultured bacterium. RNAcentral's name for it is "partial 16S ribosomal RNA". It matches the Rfam family "Bacterial small subunit ribosomal RNA", at positions 1282 to 1500 of the family's 1533-position model. The record is from RNAcentral.